CCUACGGGAGGCAGCAGUGGGGAAUAUUGCACAAUGGGGGAAACCCUGAUGCAGCGACGCCGCGUGAGUGAAGAAGUAUUUCGGUAUGUAAAGCUCUAUCAGCAGGGAAGAAAAUGACGGUACCUGAGUAAGAAGCCCCGGCUAACUACGUGCCAGCAGCCGCGGUAAUACGUAGGGGGCAAGCGUUAUCCGGAUUUACUGGGGGUAAAGGGAGAGUAGGUGGCAGAGCAAGUCUGAAGUGAAAGCCCGAGGCUCAACCCCGGGAAUGCUGUGGAAACUGCACAGCUGGAGUGCAGGAGAGGUAAGUGGAAUUCCUAGUGUAGCGGUGAAAUGCGUAGAUAUUAGGAGGAACACCAGUGGCGAAGGCGGCUUACUGGACUGUAACUGACGCUGAGGCUCGAAAGCGUGGGGAGCAAACAGGAUUAGAUACCCUAGUAGUC
This 440-nucleotide ribosomal RNA is filed under the name uncultured bacterium. RNAcentral's name for it is "partial 16S ribosomal RNA". It matches the Rfam family "Bacterial small subunit ribosomal RNA", at positions 338 to 795 of the family's 1533-position model. The record is from RNAcentral.